CAGUCGCCGCGGUAAUACGGAGGGAGCUAGCGUUAUUCGGAAUUACUGGGCGUAAAGCGCACGUAGGCGGCUUUGUAAGUAAGAGGUGAAAGCCCGGAGCUCAACUCCGGAACUGCCCUUUAGACUGCAUCGCUUGAAUCCAGGAGAGGUGAGUGGAAUUCCGAGUGUAGAGGUGAAAUUCGUAGAUAUUCGGAAGAACACCAGUGGCGAAGGCGGCUCACUGGGCUGGUAUUGACGCUGAGGUGCGAAAGCGUGGGGAGCAAACAGGAUUAGAUACCCGGGUAGUCCCUGUCUCUUAUAC
This 301-nucleotide ribosomal RNA is filed under the name uncultured bacterium. RNAcentral describes it as "partial 16S ribosomal RNA". It matches the Rfam family "Bacterial small subunit ribosomal RNA", at positions 509 to 807 of the family's 1533-position model. The record is from RNAcentral.